UUUUUUUCUUUUUUUUUUUUUUUGAGAUAGAGUCUUGGCUCUGUUGCCCAGGCUGGAGUGUAGUGGCACAACCUUGACUCACUGCAAUCUUUGCCUCCUGCACUCAAGAGACUGAGCCUACCUCAGCUUCCAGGGUAGCUGGGACUAUAGGCACGUACCAUUAAGCCCGGAUAAUUUUUUUUUUUUUUUUUGUAUUUUCAGUAGAGAUGGGGUUUUGUCGUGUUACCCAGGCUGGUUACAAACUCCUGGGCUCAAGUGAUCCACCCACCUCAGCCUCCCAAAGUGCUGGGAUUACAGGCGUGAGCCACCAUGCCCGGCUCCAUAGUUCAAUGAUCAAACCCAGAAGGUUAACAUCGAUACACUACCAUUAACUAAAUGAUUACCCUAAUUUGAACAUCACGAGUUUUUCCAUUCCUGGCCUUUUGUUCCAGGAUCUCACACUGCAUUUAGCUAAACUGUCUUCUUUGUCUCCUCCAAUCUGUUGCAGCCCCUCAAUCUGUGUGUCUUUCAUAAACUUGACACUUUUGAAGCGCUGGUCACUCUGCAGAAUGUCUCCCCGUUUGGGUUGGUCUCACGUUUUCUCACGAGUAAGGAGUUGCGCAUCUUUGGAGGAAUGUCACGGAAGUGCUGCGCCUCAGUGCACCCUAUCGGGGGAACGUGUUGUCUGUUAGCCUCAUUACUGGUGACGUUAACCUCAUCGCCUGACGCACAGUGUCUGCUGGGUUUCUCCCCUUUUGACUCUGUCACCCAGGAUGAAGUGCAAUGGCAUGAUCUUGGCUUACUGCAACCUCCGCCUCCCGGGUUCAAAUGAUUCUCAUGCCUCAGCUUCCCAAGUAGCUGAGAUUACAGUGGCGCGCCACCAUGCCUGGCUAAUUUUUUUUUGUAUUAUUAGUAGAGAUAGGGUUUCACCAUGUUGGCCAGGCUGGUGUCAAACUCCUGACCUCACGUGAUUGACCCACCUCAGCCUCUGAAAGUGCUGGGAUUACAGGCGUGAGCCACCAUGCCCAGCGUAUUGACUGAAGUUUUCUGUAAGGAAGAGCUGUCCCUUCUCCACCAUUAAUCAAUUCAAUUAUUUAUGUCAUUAUGGACUCCUGGAUAUUGAUAUUAUUCCAUGGGUUACAAAUCAAAAUGAUCAUUAUUUAUAUUGUUGUUCAAGUGAUACCAGCCUUGGCCUCUUAAAAGUUUUAAAUUAUACAAGUAAAAUAUAUCCUCAUUCUAAAAUUUUCAAACACAAAGCAAAACCUCUUUCUCUCCUUAAUCUUCAAUCUUACUUUUCUCUACCUGCCCAUCACCGCUCCCCGGGGUAGGCAAGUCUCUUGCGCUGGCUUGUGCUGUCCUACUUCUUAUUUUGUAAACAUAAAUGGGAUCACAAAACUUAUUUUCUGCAACUUGCAUCUUUCACUCUGUCCUAUGGCUUAGAGCAGUGCUAUUCUAGGUGCGGGCCAUAGACCUUUUCUCCUAGUAAAGGGGGCCUUUAUUUCCAUGUCUGUACUGCUGCCUGCCCCCUGUAGACCCAGGACGCAGCUCAGAGGGGACAGGGGCAGCUGUGGCAGGGGGCUGGGCCCGCUCAGAUGCUCGUCCUCCUAGUGCCAAGGCCCAGGCAGCCUGGUGUCUGUCUGAUGGACCAGGGCCUGGGGAAAAGUGAGGAAAAGCUGGGGAAAGCUGGGCAGGAUAGACUGGAACAGCAGCCAGGACUCCAUGCCCCUGGAGGGCAUCUUUUAGAAAUACCCACAUUUAUAGAUGAAAUAAUGUGGCAUCAGAAAUUGGUCUCAAAUUAAUUUAGAUUGUCUCCUGAUUUUCACUCUUACAUCUCUCCUGUGCUUUCAUGCAGGGUGGGACUGCUGAGGGGAAGGAUUGGGCACUUCUUAUUUUAACAGGCAACUGUUACUCUAUUUUCUGACUAUGGAUUAAGAGGCACUGUGAACUUCAAACAAACAGAGCAGAAGGUGAAGCUGUGUAAGUUCUAUGAUCUUAACUACGUAUAUAUAUUAAAAACUGGAAAAAAUACAUCAAAAUUUGAACAUUCAUUGUCUCUUGGGGAUAGUCUUGUUUCUUUGCAUUUUUCUCUACUUUCCAAAUUUUCUAAAAUUAGAAUUAGAAAACAAAAAUCAAACACUCAUAUUUCAGUGAGAGGUCACAAAAUAUGUAUCCCCGAGUCUUCUAGUUUCUCCCAGUAAAAAAAGCUCCUCCCUUUGAAGGCCCGCACUAGCUUAUCCCUCCAAGUUAACUUAUUUCUCCAAGUUUUCUUUUUCCAGGAGCUGCCAAAAAGCUUUCCGCUGCUGCAUUGGCCGGGAAUCGAACCCGGGCCUCCCGCGUGGCAGGCGAGAAUUCUACCACUGAACCACCAAUGCUCCAGCUGAGUGCUGUUCUGCCUCCAGCUGUUUUGUUGCUCCGAUUCACAGUGGUGAUGGCACAGCUGUAACCUGACACCUGAGAUGGGUCCAGCAUGGACAGCUGCUGGAUUUUACCAGCCAAACCCAUGGGAGGAGGUGGGGCAUGCAUGCUUGACAUUCUGCUCAGCUGUUCAAAAGAGAAGUCCAUGAAUGGCAAUGGGAGAAUGCUCAGCAAUUCUUUUGGCUCCUGUGGGCAGGUUCCAGACCUUACUCUGUUAUCCUUAAAGAUCUGAGUAGGCUUAGUCUUCCCUAUAAAAAAUUUCUUGACAAAUUAGCUGAAACUGUCAUUCACUUGUUUCUCUUGUUUUAUGGCCUUGUGGGUUAUUCUACUGAAUGCUGUGAUUUCUUUUACCACUGGUUGAUUUGUCUUGUUUUGCUGUCUUGCCUCCUUGACUAGACUGUAAGCCUCUGGAGCACAAGGACUUUGUCUGGUAAACACAACUUGAUGUAUAACAGAUGUUUGCUAAAUGUUAGAUUUGUAAUAAAUGGAAUUUAACUGGAAAAAAAAA
Long non-coding RNA from Pan troglodytes (chimpanzee), 2902 nucleotides. RefSeq lists it as uncharacterized. Lineage: Eukaryota; Metazoa; Chordata; Mammalia; Primates; Hominidae. The record is from RefSeq and is a predicted model, not a curated record. The transcript has 3 exons.